RNAcentral lists this ribosomal RNA (468 nucleotides) under uncultured bacterium. Its description in RNAcentral is "partial 16S ribosomal RNA". It matches the Rfam family "Bacterial small subunit ribosomal RNA", at positions 28 to 507 of the family's 1533-position model. The record is from RNAcentral.
GAUGAACGCUGGCGGCGUGCUUAACACAUGCAAGUCGAACGGUGAAGGCGGAGCUUGCUCUGCUGGAUCAGUGGCGAACGGGUGAGUAACACGUGAGCAAUCUGCCCUUGACUUUGGGAUAACCUCUGGAAACGGGGUCUAAUACUGGAUAGGAGCUCCUACGGCAUCUUCGGCGGUUGAAAGUAACUGCGGUUGGGGAUGGGCUCGCGGCUUAUCAGCUUGUUGGUGGGGUAACGGCUCACCAAGGCGUCGACGGGUAGCCGGCCUGAGAGGGUGACCGGCCACACUGGGACUGAGACACGGCCCAGACUCCUACGGGAGGCAGCAGUGGGGAAUAUUGCACAAUGGGCGAAAGCCUGAUGCAGCAACGCCGCGUGAGGGACGACGGCCUUCGGGUUGUAAACCUCUUUUAGCAGGGAAGAAGCGAAAGUGACGGUACCUGCAGAAAAAGCGCCGGCUAACUACGUG